AUGUGGGAAGCUUCCAUUUGCCACCGCAGGAGAUGGCUGAGAAGAGCAGAGAGCCAAAAGAGGCCAAAAGAUCCCCCCGAAAAGAUGGAAGCGGGAGGAAUGCCAGCGGCGUUUGGGAGGCACGGUGCAGAGCAGGAGCCGCGGCGCCAGCCAGGACUCGGGUGGCUGCUCCAAGGGGGGGUUUUGGGAAAAUCCAAAAAGACGGAAGCGGGAGCGAGCGCUGACGGUACAGGAGCUGAUGCCGCGCCGGGACAGCAUUCCCGGUGGGAGAUGCCAACCCCCGUGGCUCGGAGGGAGAGGCUGGAGCCGUCGCGGAGCCGGUCAGGCCCUGCAGCCCGGCGCUGGAACGGCUCUCUUGGAUCAAGCCGAGAUGGGAAGAGGGGAACAGCAUCUUGGAGGCGGUGUUGGAACCAGCAGAACGUGCCGGCGGGUCGAUGCUGGAACAGCCCUGGAUCCUCCGGGAUGAGCCGGGAUCUGCCCGACCCGUUCCCCCCUCCCCUGCCCCCGACGUCCCUUGAGAAAGAAGAAAGUUUUAUUCCUCUUAUUUUUUUAAUGAAAGAAAAACAAAAAAGAAACCAGAUGCACUUUAGGCAGCCCAGCGUGGGGCUGCCGGGGGGGGGUGUCCUGCGCCCCCCCCUUUGCUUCCUUCCUUCCCUCCCUCGUCCCUCUGCGGCCGGCGGUUGCCGAAGGCAGGGCUCGGAUCCCUGGAUCUUACCACUAGCGCCAGACGACGCCCGACGUGAGGAGCUCCUCGUGCCUCUGCUCCUCUCCUCCCCCAGUAGCAGAUUUUUGCAAAUGGAGUUUUACAAGUCUAUAUUUAAAGAAUUGUAUGUUUGUAACAAAUAAAAAGUAUGCGGAAAAGUGAAUGGAAAACAAAAACCACCAAAGCCCGGCCCUCGGUGUCUGGAUCAUUUUGGGGGGGGGGGUCCCUCAGGAGGUGCUGCUGGGUUGGGAAUGGGGUGUCUGGGGGCUUGGGUGGGGUUUAUGGGGGUCACCUAUGGGGCUCUGGGGAGGACUCCUGGGACUUUGGGGGAUCUUAGGGCUCUGGCAGGGGACAUAUGGGGUGUGGGGGGAGCCUUGGGGCUGAGUUAUGGAGCUUUGCAGGGCACCUGUGGGGCUUGGGGGGCCCUCAGGGCUCUGGGGAGGACCCUUGGGGGCACCUCAGGGCUCUGAGGAGGAGCUAUGGGGCUCUGGGGAGACCUAUGGGACCUUUGGGGGGAUCCUCAGGGCUUUAGGGGGGGAUCUGUGGGGCUCUGUGGGGGGACGCACGGGGCUGUGGGGAUGAUCUAUGGGGCUCUGGUGGAGUGUCGGGACUCUGGGGAGGGCCUUGGAGCUUUUGGAGGCCCCUCAGUCCCCCGCGCACACACGCGGCGGCACCGCGGGGGCUCAGCGCGGUACGACGGGCUCCCCCCCCCCGGCAGCACCGCGGCCGGUGCGUGCGGCACCGGCACCGCAGCCGGGGGGGCCGGACACUGAGGCACCGCGGCGGGAGCUGCCCCCGCCCGGCCCUACCUGCGCCGCGGCCGCCGGCUGGAACCGCGGGGGAAGCUCCGCGCCGGGCUCAAGCGCCUCACGGCGGCGGCACCACCGACCGCCCCCCUACCCCCGGUGCUCCGCUCCCGCAGUGCCGCUCCGCGCAAAC
RNAcentral lists this long non-coding RNA (1642 nucleotides) under Strigops habroptila (Kakapo). Its description in RNAcentral is "lncRNA (ENSSHBG00005013843.1)". Lineage: Eukaryota; Metazoa; Chordata; Aves; Psittaciformes; Psittacidae. The record is from RNAcentral.